Mus musculus (house mouse) is the source of this 1878-nucleotide long non-coding RNA. RefSeq annotates it as predicted gene, 32336. The record is from RefSeq and is a predicted model, not a curated record. Lineage: Eukaryota; Metazoa; Chordata; Mammalia; Rodentia; Muridae. The transcript has 2 exons.
GAUGUGUGCAGCAAACACCUGAUGCCGUCCACAGGUCGCUCCAGCAGCACAGCUGGCCAGCGGGGGGUCUGGCAGGUCGAACCUGUGCAGAGUGUGGAGCCUCUAGCCAGAGCACCACGAGGACAAUGUCUUCAAGCAAAGAGGACUGGCCAGUGGGCACUCCUUACCACAUCACAGUGAUAGUAGAGAUCAGUUUGUCUGGUUUGCUUAUGAGUGGUUCUGUUUUCUUGUGUGUGCUUAGCUCUGGGGGUUGUAUUAUAAGCAGUGAAGAGAGUCCUCUUAGAGGUAGCUGAGAACUGUGCUCAACCUAAAUGUAAACACGUUCCUGCUGACUCAUCAGAGGGUGUGGGUGGCAGCUGUGUGACAUCAGCCACUUGGCUGUGGAUUACUGACAGGGAGAGCAUAUGGGAAUAUUUGAAACCUCAAGCCUUCAUAAAAGAACCUUCUUUGCGGAUUCCUCCUUCAACCCAGAAUGGACUAGAUUCCUCCUCUCUUGGGGUUCGUAUGAUGCCUUUUAAUUAUUUCUAGCAGCACUGAAAUAAUAAUCUUGUGUGUUUGUGUGCCCAUCUCUGUGUUGCUUUCUUGAAGAUAGGAAAUUUAACUUUGCUUCCUUGGUAUUUUUUAGGUCCAGUAUACAGUACCUAGUGCAUUUCUGUUGGAUAAAUAAAAGAUUAAUGAUCUAUAUUUGUGUCUUGAAUCUUUGUGUCAGGUGACAUCUCCACAGAGGCUAAGUAGCAUAUUAAUCAAGGGUCCUGGGCUAAGAAUCUUUGAAUCUUGUCCUGCCACUAUGGAUGUAGAGACUUUUGAGUUUCAGAUUAAAUGAUAUACUAUGUCUAAGAUUAGCAUAUACCAGGGGUAAUGUUAGUUAUUGUAUAUGACCACCUGCUUCCUUAACAUUCUGCUCUGAGAUAUCUCAUAGGAAUCUGACAUUUAUAUGUGAAACCAUGAUUAGUGUAACUAGUUGAUUCACUCAGACUCAUUGAAAUGAAUAGAAUUUCUAGGUCUUCACAUUGGUAACAAUAUUAGAGAGACUGUUUGCCUGUACAUCCCAGAAGCAGAGGUUUGAUUGGCCUUUUAAAUUGUACUGAUCUGGUAGGAAAGCUGAGGUGUGAUCUAUUUGUAUCCCUUCCUGUGUUGCCGAUGAUGCUAUAAUUGAAAUGGUUUUUAUAUGUAUAUAUGAGGUGCAAAUUCUUCAGCUACUGCAGUCCCAUGUUGUGUUGUAGUCAUUGGCUCCAACCUCCAUUUCUUCACAGUACAGGCUCCUGAAGGGCUCGUUUGCAGUUUAUCAGUGCCUCACCCACCUCUAGUGGAUGCAGAUUGACUCCCAGAAGGCUUGGAUUUUAUAUUUGAAUUAAUAUUAUUCCCCCAGGAUUUUUUUUUUUGGGCUGUUGGUGGUGGAGUAGGAGAACCAGGCUCCUAUUUAUAUCAGACAUUUUCACAGAUCAUUAACUUUUAGAGGCAGUUCCCUUGGGUACAAAAACAAGUUGAAAUAUUCCAGGAUAUGUUUUAAUUCAGUUGCUCCUGUACAUAACAGAAUUAUCUCAAGUUUGAAAGACACUGUUGUUUACCUGCCUCUGUCAUUGUGUGGAUGAAAAAGGACAUACCCUUUCAGAAUCAUGACUCUGGUUCACAGGACAGGUGGGAGGUGCCUUAUUCUCAGUCUUUGGCUGCAAUGAUAUGACUCUUGAUAUCUUUUUUUACUUGGCCUAAUCACUUAGAACUUUCUAGAGAGUUUAGAGUCUUAUGACUCUCAACACAAUCAAAGAUAUAUUAACUGGUAUCACUUGGAAAGCUUGCCUCUAAUGAUUUUUUUUGGGUGAUUAGCAAGUGGUAACUUAUAAAUUCUAGAGAAAGCAGGAAACUUGAUUGUAAAAAAAA